RNAcentral lists this ribosomal RNA (425 nucleotides) under uncultured bacterium. RNAcentral's name for it is "partial 16S ribosomal RNA". It matches the Rfam family "Bacterial small subunit ribosomal RNA", at positions 354 to 796 of the family's 1533-position model. The record is from RNAcentral.
GUGGGGAAUCUUGCGCGAUGGGCGAAAGCCUGACGCAGCCAUGCCGCGUGGAUGAUGAAGGUCUUAGGAUUGUAAAAUCCUUUCACCGGUGAAGAUAAUGACUGUAGCCGGAGAAGAAGCCCCGGCUAACUUCGUGCCAGCAGCCGCGGUAAUACGAAGGGGGCUAGCGUUGCUCGGAUUUACUGGGCGUAAAGGGCGCGUAGGCGGACAUUUAAGUCAGGGGUGAAAUCCCGGGGCUCAACCUCGGAACUGCCUUUGAUACUGGGUGUCUUGAGUAUGAGAGAGGUGUGUGGAACUCCGAGUGUAGAGGUGAAAUUCGUAGAUAUUCGGAAGAACACCAGUGGCGAAGGCGACACACUGGCUCAUUACUGACGCUGAGGCGCGAAAGCGUGGGGAGCAAACAGGAUUAGAAACCCCGGUAGUCC